This 253-nucleotide ribosomal RNA is filed under the name uncultured bacterium. RNAcentral's name for it is "partial 16S ribosomal RNA". It matches the Rfam family "Bacterial small subunit ribosomal RNA", at positions 524 to 776 of the family's 1533-position model. The record is from RNAcentral.
UACAGAGGGUGCAAGCGUUGUUCGGAAUCAUUGGGCGUAAAGGGCGCGUAGGCGGUCCCACAAGUCGAAUGUGAAAGCCCAGGGCUCAACCUUGGAAGUGCAUUCGAAACUAGGGGACUCGAGUCUCGGAGAGGGUGGUGGAAUUCCCAGUGUAGAGGUGAAAUUCGUAGAUAUUGGGAGGAACACCGGUGGCGAAGGCGACCACCUGGACGAAGACUGACGCUGAGGCGCGAAAGCGUGGGGAGCAAACAGG